AUGGUUCAACAAUGCUAUUUGUUCUUCAUGAGGAGUUCAGAGGAGGAUUUGGAGGGGGAGAAAGAGAAAGAUGAGGUAGGAGGAAGAGGAGAGGGGGUGGCGGGUGUCUCGGAGGAGGAGGCGGCUAAUAAAAAGUUGGUUGGAGUGAGGAGUGACAGAAGUACCAUCAGUUCAAAUGAUUGCACUCACCAAGCUGGCAAAAGGCAGAAACUUGAAAAGGUCAUCUCAGCAAGCCAGCAGCGCCGGAAGCAUGAGGCUCUGGUUCCCCUUCCAGCAGUGCGGGGCUGCCAUCCCGAAGCCCAGUCUGACCACGAGUUCUGCUACCGCAAGGUGACCGGCCAACAACUCAUCUCCCUACUGCUCUACAUCCAGAUCGUGCCACCAUCAACUCCCCGUCCAUACCACAACUUUCUCAAGGAAGCUGAGCAGGAGCAGUUCGGGGACGAAGCCAAGCGUCCAGGAACCAGGCAAAACGCCACAUUCAAUGUGAGCAGCGACGAGCGGAUGGGCGGCGACAACAUGCACCAUGGCAUGAUGAUCAGAUUGGCAACGGAAACGUUUAAAAUCGGCGUGCCGGCCGAAGUUAGCUCACAACGCGCGUUACUCUCGUACACACAACCACGUUGCUCUGGUCCCACGCACCGCUUCCUGCCUCUCACCUUAUCUUCUCAGGACGAAGCUCCUCCAUUCAUUCUUUCCUCCACUCGUUCCAUCCUCCUCCAUACGCAUUCCCUCCUCUGCUUCUUCUUUCUCAAAUCACUUCAUCCAUGGCAUCUCAUGCUCCACGCAGAGACGGCGUGUACAGCCGUCGAUUUUUUGUUGCCAUGCUCGGCCCAACCUCUCCCAUGUCGCAGUGUAGGCCAUGUUCGCCACCACCGUGGUUCCGGCAUGAUUUUUUGCUGCAUAAUUUUUGCUGGAACCGCAAUUUGUUUCUGCUGGAAGCAUCUUUCGUUUUUGCAGCAUAUUGAGAGGAUGCUGGUGCCUUCGUUGUAUGAUUUUUUGCUACAUCCAUUUUUCUUGCUUGAACCGCUCCAUUUUUUCCUGGAAGCAGAGCUCGGCUUUGCUACAAUGCUAGGACGGUGGCUGCCAAGCAUUUUGCUGCAUCGAUUUUUUUGGCUGGAACUAGCAAUUAGUUUUGCUACAUCCAGCCGAAAAGCAGAGCUGGAACUGUUUUUCAUUUAUGCUACCACUAGCGAAAACCAUUUUUUUGUUGUUGAAGCAUUUUUGCUGGAACCAGCAAGCACGGAAGCUACAACCGGGGAGAGUACAGGUUUUUUGCGAGCUCGUCGGAGGAGGUGUUGCGCCCGGCGACCGCCGUGCGCCGGGGAUGCAGCGGCCGCCACCGGAGCUGUGACUGUCGUAACGGGGACCUGCAGCUACAGGGACAAGCUGCUGCAUUCACGGAGCCGGCGAGAAACAAAAGAGACGACGACGGCAACGGCGGCGCCGGCGGCCGGCAAGGGCGGCGACAGGCGAAACACGCCGGGCAGAGCUUCUAGAUCGGGCGCGUCGCUCAUCCCUGGCGGCGCGACGGGAUUUUUAACAAGGCAGAGGAGGAAGGGUAGGAGAUCGUGCGGUUCCAGUUUUGCAGAUCGUACGGUACCAGUGCAACCUGCCCAAAUUUGGGCCGGCGCACCGGGGCCUAUCAGUCGCCCACACAAAAACAGAAGGUUUCACUUCGAAGGAUGGCGCGGCUAG
This 1698-nucleotide ribosomal RNA is filed under the name Triticum aestivum (bread wheat). Its description in RNAcentral is "partial small subunit ribosomal RNA". Lineage: Eukaryota; Viridiplantae; Streptophyta; Magnoliopsida; Poales; Poaceae. The record is from RNAcentral.